CCUACGGGAGACAGCAGUGAGGAAUAUUGGUCAAUGGACGAGAGUCUGAACCAGCCAAGUAGCGUGAAGGAUGACUGCCCUAUGGGUUGUAAACUUCUUUUAUAAAGGAAUAAAACGAGGCACGUGUGCCUUUUUGCAUGUACUUUAUGAAUAAGGAUCGGCUAACUCCGUGCCAGCAGCCGCGGUAAUACGGAGGAUCCGAGCGUUAUCCGGAUUUAUUGGGUUUAAAGGGAGCGUAGAUGGGUUGUUAAGUCAGUUGUGAAAGUUUGCGGCUCAACCAUAAAAUUGCAAUUGAUACUGGCAGUCGUGAGUACAGUUGAGGUAAGCGGAAUUCGUGGUGUAGCGGUGAAAUGCUUAGAUAUCACGAAGAACCCCGAUUGCGAAGGCAGCUUACUAAACUGUGACUGACAUUGAUGCUCGAAAGUGUGGGUAUCAAACAGGAUUAGAUACCCCAGUAGUC
RNAcentral lists this ribosomal RNA (460 nucleotides) under uncultured bacterium. Its description in RNAcentral is "partial 16S ribosomal RNA". It matches the Rfam family "Bacterial small subunit ribosomal RNA", at positions 338 to 795 of the family's 1533-position model. The record is from RNAcentral.